ACAAUAAUAAUACUUGAAUGAAUCAUUGGACAUGUAAAAUUUUAAAUUUUACAUGUCCAAUGAUUCUUCAAGUAUUAUUA
This is a non-coding RNA of Paramuricea clavata, 80 nucleotides long. The record is from the annotation of a GenBank genome assembly. Lineage: Eukaryota; Metazoa; Cnidaria; Anthozoa; Malacalcyonacea; Plexauridae.